This 549-nucleotide ribosomal RNA is filed under the name uncultured bacterium. Its description in RNAcentral is "partial 16S ribosomal RNA". It matches the Rfam family "Bacterial small subunit ribosomal RNA", at positions 354 to 895 of the family's 1533-position model. The record is from RNAcentral.
UGGGGGAAUUUUGGACAAUGGGCGAAAGCCUGAUCCAGCAAUGCCGCGUGUGUGAAGAAGGCCUUCGGGUUGUAAAGCACUUUUGUCCGGAAAGAAAUCCUUGGCUCUAAUACAGUCAGGGGAUGACGGUACCGGAAGAAUAAGCACCGGCUAACUACGUGCCAGCAGCCGCGGUAAUACGUAGGGUGCAAGCGUUAAUCGGAAUUACUGGGCGUAAAGCGUGCGCAGGCGGUUUGCUAAGACCGAUGUGAAAUCCCCGGGCUCAACCUGGGAACUGCAUUGGUGACUGGCAGGCUAGAGUAUGGCAGAGGGGGGUAGAAUUCCACGUGUAGCAGUGAAAUGCGUAGAGAUGUGGAGGAAUACCGAUGGCGAAGGCAGCCCCCUGGGCCAAUACUGACGCUCAUGCACGAAAGCGUGGGGGAGCAAACAGGAUUAGAUACCCUGGUAGUCCACGCCCUAAACGAUGUCAACUAGUUGUUGGGGAUUCAUUUCCUUAGUAACGUAGCUAACGCGUGAAGUUGACCGCCUGGGGAGUACGGUCGCAAGAUU